This 95-nucleotide non-coding RNA is filed under the name Inquilinus limosus. RNAcentral describes it as "TPP sequence". It matches the Rfam family "TPP riboswitch aptamer (THI element)". From Rfam's summary of the family: Vitamin B(1) in its active form thiamin pyrophosphate (TPP) is an essential coenzyme that is synthesised by coupling of pyrimidine and thiazole moieties in bacteria. Lineage: Bacteria; Pseudomonadati; Pseudomonadota; Alphaproteobacteria; Rhodospirillales; Rhodospirillaceae. The record is from RNAcentral.
GGAAGUGACACGGGGUGCCCGGCAACGGGCUGAGAUCAUACCCGUCGAACCUGAUCUGGGUUAUGCCAGCGAAGGGAGCCGUCACGCGAUGCCCG